Molecule: ribosomal RNA, 495 nt
Filed under: uncultured bacterium
Lineage: Bacteria
Description: partial 16S ribosomal RNA
Rfam family: Bacterial small subunit ribosomal RNA
Source: RNAcentral
GAUGAACGCUGGCGGCGUGCCUAAUACAUGCAAGUCGAGCGAACAGACGAGGAGCUUGCUCCUCUGACGUUAGCGGCGGACGGGUGAGUAACACGUGGAUAACCUACCUAUAAGACUGGGAUAACUUCGGGAAACCGGAGCUAAUACCGGAUAACAUGUUGAACCGCAUGGUUCAACAGUGAAAGACGGUCUUGCUGUCACUUAUAGAUGGAUCCGCGCCGCAUUAGCUAGUUGGUAAGGUAACGGCUUACCAAGGCAACGAUGCGUAGCCGACCUGAGAGGGUGAUCGGCCACACUGGAACUGACACGGUCCAGACUCCUACGGGAGGCAGCAGUAGGGAAUCUUCCGCAAUGGGCGAAAUCCUGACGGAGCAACGCCGCGUGAGUGAAGAAGGUCUUCGGAUCGUAAAACUCUGUUAUUAGGGAAGAACAAAUGUGUAAGUAACUAUGCACGUCUUGACGGUACCUAAUCAGAAAGCCACGGCUAACUACGUG